AUCAGUUGACGAGUUCCAAAUAGGACGAGACGCGCGUCCCGGAA
RNAcentral lists this non-coding RNA (44 nucleotides) under Schistosoma margrebowiei. Lineage: Eukaryota; Metazoa; Platyhelminthes; Trematoda; Strigeidida; Schistosomatidae. The record is from RNAcentral.